UUGCAACAGUGGAGGGAGGUGCAACUAGAGUUCUGGAGUAGCAAUCAGUACUCAGAGCACAAAUCCCUUAUGUCUGGAAGACAUGGUUCUUCUUGACCACCUUGGCUCCUGCAAGCUACGUGCAAGCUGCUCCAGGAACAGCUCUGCCUCUAUCAAAAAUAAGACAGUGAGCUUGUGGGUCAAGCAGCUUGUAAUUUCUCCAGGCCCAUUGUGUGGAGAGGAGGAGAAACCACAAUGCCUGAAGCCUCUUGAAGAGGUGAAUACAUUUGGAGGACAUGGAAUCAUCUGCACCAGCCCUUUGGCCUGAUGUCAGAUCAGUGUGGCCGGAAGCAUAAACUGGGUGAAGCAGAGAGUACCAGGCAUGUGCUGGUGAGAUAUCUGGGGAACCAUGAAGGGGCCAAGGUGGGGGAUGGCUCACUUUGGCUGUUUGGGUUUCCAUCAUUUAAAAAUGUUGAGAGUUCCUUUUGGUGUUGAUGGAUAGGACAAAUCUUGUUUGUCCUAUUGGCUGAAAAAAGUCUCAUUUAAUGAUAGAGAGAUUUUUGGCAGUCACUAAAUGGUCCAGUACUAUAGCCUCAGCUAAGACAUUUCUGUUAAAACAGAAAUAUGUAUGCUGUUUAUAGUUGCUUUCAUGUUCAUUUCAUUUGAGUCUCCCAAUAGCCCAUGAGAUGAGUGGAGCAAGGAUUAUUACUCCAUCUUAUAAUGAGGAAACAUGAGGUU
Long non-coding RNA from Lagenorhynchus albirostris (white-beaked dolphin), 717 nucleotides. RefSeq lists it as uncharacterized. The record is from RefSeq and is a predicted model, not a curated record. Lineage: Eukaryota; Metazoa; Chordata; Mammalia; Artiodactyla; Delphinidae. The transcript is spliced from 3 exons.